This is a non-coding RNA of Paramuricea clavata, 89 nucleotides long. NCBI's taxonomy places the organism in Eukaryota, Metazoa, Cnidaria, Anthozoa, Malacalcyonacea, Plexauridae. The record is from the annotation of a GenBank genome assembly.
CAUGCAAUGCUCAAUUUACGAUUCGCAGUGGCGUAGUGACUUAAAAGACUUAUACGUCACUGCGAAUCGGAGAUUGAGCAUCGCAUGGU